Molecule: long non-coding RNA, 4189 nt
Filed under: Sus scrofa (pig)
Lineage: Eukaryota; Metazoa; Chordata; Mammalia; Artiodactyla; Suidae
Description: lncRNA (ENSSSCG00025023870.1)
Source: RNAcentral
UUUUCUUUUUUGGUGGUAUCUCUGUCUGGUUUUGGGAUGAGGGUGAUGGUGGCAUCAUAGAAUGUCUUUGGGAAUAUUCCUUCUUCUUCAACCUUUUGAAAGAGUUUAAAGAGGAUGGGCACCAGUUUCUCUUUAUAUGUUUGACAGAAUUCGCCUGUGAUGCCAUCUGGUCCUGGACUUUUAUUUGUAGGGAGUGUUUUUAUGACCUCUUCAAUUUCAUUUCUAGUGAUUAGUCUGUUCAGUUGGUCUGUUUCUUCUUGAUUCAGUUUUGGCAGGCUGUAAGAUCCUUGAAAAUUGUCCAUUUCUUCCAGAUCGUCAAAUUUGUUGGCAUAUAGAUGUUCAUAGCAUUCUCUUAUGGUUUUUUUAUUUCUGCAGUAUCUGUUGUGAUUUCUCCUUUUUCAUUUAUAAUUUUGGUUAUUUGGGUUCUUUCUCUCCUCUUUUUAGUGAGUCUGGCCAGGGGUUUGUCAAUUUUGUUCACCUUUUCAAAGAACCAGCUCUUGGUUUUAUUAAUUUUCUCUAUUGUUUUUUGAGUCUCUAUUUUAUUGAUUUCUUCUUUGAUCUUUAUAAUUUCCUUCCUUCUGCUGACUUUAGGACUUUUUUGUUCUUCUUUUUCUAAUUCGUUUAGUUGGAGGGUUAAGUUGUCAAUUUGGGAUCUUUCUUCUUUUUUGAGAAAGGCCUGUAUUGCUAUAAAUUUCCCUCUGGAAGCACUGCUUUCACAGCAUCCCAUAGAUUUUGAAAGGUUUUGCCUUCAUUAUCAUUUGUUUCAAGGUAUUUUUUAAUUUCCUUCUUGAUAUCCUCAUUGACCCAUUGGUUUUUUAGAGCAUGUUGUUUAGUCUCCAUGGAGUAGGUUUUUUCUCUUUCCUUUUCCCAUGGUUGAUUUCUAAUUUCACAGCAUUGUGGUCAGAGAAGAUACUUGAGAUAAUUUCUAUGCUCCUAAAUUUAUUGAGAUUAGCUUUGUGUCCCAAUAUCAAAAAACAGAUUUGAGAAGGGAGAACGAAGAAUUAAUGAACUGGAAGACAAGUCAGUUAAAAUUAUUAAAUCUGAGGAACAGCAAGAACAAAAAAGCAUGAAGAAAAGUGAAGAGAGCCAAAGGACUUUGUGGAAUGCCAAAAUAUCAAAGUAUAAUAUUAUGGGAAUCCCAAAAAGGAGAAGAUAGAAAAGACAAAAAAAAUUAUUUCAAGAAAUGUUUGGCUGAAAAGUUCUCACAGUUAAUGAAAUACAUGAAUAUAUAAAUCCAAGAAUCUCAAUUAACUCCAAGUAUGAUAAAGCAAAAUAAAUAUUAAUACAUAAUGUCAAACUGAAACAUUAAAAUCCAACUACUGAAAGACAAAGAGACAAUUUGGAAAGCAUAAAGAAAAAAGAAAAUUUUUAUGUAUAAGGGAUCUUCAGUAUGAUUACAAGCUGAUUUCUUAUCAGAAAUAUAGGAAGUCAGAAAACAAUGGGAUGAUAUAUUUAAUGUACUGGAGAAAAAAGUAUUAACUGAUAGCAAGUAUUAUUAUUAACUUUAAUCUGUGACUUCAUUGUAUUUUCAACAGAAUUUAAAUGACACAUGAACAAAAGUCAAAUAUAACUCUAUUUGCACACAAUAUACAUAAAAGUUUUAAUUUGUGAUAUUAAUAACAUAAGGAGGGAGAUGGGGUUUUAUAGCAGUAAAAAUUCUAUAUGCAGUUAAAUUUAAGACAGUAUCUAUUGAAAUUAGAUAGCCAUUACUUUGGGAUAGUGUAUUGAUUACUUGUGUAAUCACAAAGAAUACGUCUCAAAAAUAUAGAUAAAAUGAGAAUAAAAUUGAAAUGCAUCAGCAUAAAAAUUCAAUCACAAAAAAGGUAGAAAUUGAGGAACUGAGGGCCAAGAAAUUUGAGACAUAAGGAAAACAAAGAGGCAAAAGCAGAAGUUCUUUCUUUUCAAUUUCAUUGAAUAUAAAUUAAACUCACCAAUCAAAAGGCAUAUAUUAGAAAAAUGGAUUAAAAAAUAACAUGAUCAAACUAUAAGAUGUCUACAAGGUACUUGAUUUUAAUAUAAAGACACACACUGUCUAAAAGUGAAAAGAUGGGAAAACAUAGUUCAUGGAAAUAAUAAUCACAGGAACGCUGGAGUGUCUAUACUAAUAUCAGACCAAAAUAGACUUUAAGUCAAAAACUGUCACAAGAGGUAAAUAAGUACAUUAUAUAUUGAUAAAAAGAUCAAUUUACCAAGAAAACAUAACACACAUACACUCAUGCACCAAAAAUCAGAAAUCAAAAUUAUAUGAAGCAAACAUUAACGGAAUUGAAAAGAAAAAUAAAUAGUUGUGGUAGAGGACUUGAAUAACAACACAAACCAAAAAGAGAGAUGACUCAAAUUACUAAAUACUAGGGGCAUAUUGUAAACCUUAAAGAUUUUUUUAAUUUUAUGAGAAUACUAUGAAAAAAAAUUGUAUGCCACCAUAGUAAAUAACAGACAAUUGAAAAAAAUUUCUUUAAUAAAAACUAGCAGAAGUGAUUCAGGAAGAAAUAGUAAAUAUAAAAUAAGGUAUAAUAAGAAAUUAAGUCAUUAAUCAAAAACCCAUAACAAAGAAAACCUAAGGAUCAACUGGCUUCACAUGUGAAUUCUGCCAAAAAUGUAAAGAAAAUUAACAUUGAUACUUCUCAAAUGCUUCCAAGAAAUAUGGGGAGAGAACACUAAGUGUUAAGAAACAAUGUUAAGAAACUCAGUCUAUGAGGCCAAUAUUCUUCUGAAAACAAAAUAAAUACAUCAGAAGAAAAUAAAACUCCAACUAAGAGCCCUUAUGAAUAUUAAAGCAAGAACCCUCAACAAAAUACUAGCAAAACAAAUUCAGCAGCAUUUCAAAGACUUUACAGAUGAAGACAAAGUGGAAUUACUCCCCAGAACACAAUAAUUAUUGAAACAAAAAAUAACUCAAUGUAAUAUGCUAAGAGAAUAGGGGUGUAUGAAAAACACAAUUAUCUCAAAUGCAGAACAACAUCUGAAGAAGUUUAACACUCUCUCAUAAUAAAAACAUGCAACAAACUAGGAAUAGAAGGAAACUUACUUAAAAAAAAUUACAUGAAAAACCCACAGGUACCAUCAGAGUCAAGAUCAGACAUGAGAUAAUUAUUCCUAUUUUUUUCACUUUUAUUAAAAACUAUUGAAAGUUCUACCUAGACCAAUUAUGCAAAUUAAAUAAAUAAAACACAUUCAAAUUGGAAAAGAAAAAGUAAAACCCUAUUUCCUUAAGACACAAUCUUAUAUAGAGAAAACCCUGAGGAAUUCACAAAAAGACUAUUAAUACUGAUAUGUGAACACAGAAAAGUUGCAGGAUACAAGAUGUAUACUCAAAAAUCAGUUGUAUUUCUAUGGGAGUUCCUGUCAUGGCUCAGAGGAAACGAAUCUGACUAGUAUCCAUGAGGAUGCAGGUUUAAUCCCAGGCCUUGCUCAAUGGUUUAAGGAUCUGGCUGUGCCGUGAGCUGUGGUGUAGGUCAAAGACACAGUUCAGAUCCAAUGUUGCUAUGGCUGUGUUGUAGGCUGCCAGCUAGAGCUCUGAUUCAACCCCUAACCUGGGAACUUCCCUAAGCUGGGGGUGUGGCCCUAAAAAAAAAAAAAAAAAAAAAAAAAUCAGCUGUACUUCUAAGCACUGCAAUGAAAAAUCCAAAAAUAAAGUUAAGAAAGAAUCCUUUUUACAAACACAUAAAACAGAAAAAAAAAACUUAAAAAUACAAUUAAACAAGGAGGUGCAAGACUUGUUCACUGAAAAUUACAAAACAUUGCUGAAAGAAAUUAGAGAAUUAACUAAAUAGAAAGUACUCCAUGCUAUGGAUUAGAAGGUUUAAUGUUUUUAGGAUGUCAGUUCCACCGAAAUCUAUCUAUAGAUUUAAAGUAAUCCCUAUCAAAUUCCUAAUAAUAUUGUCUAUGCAUAUACAGAAAAACACAUUUUAAAAUUUAUAUGUAAUCUCAAGGGCCUCCAAAGAGUCAAAAACAAUUUCAGAAAAAAGCUGUAUUCUCAUACUUCCUAUUUUCAAAACUUACUACAAAGCCACAGUAAUCAAAACAAUGUGGUACUGAAACAUAGUCAUAAAUAGAUCAAUGGACUAUAGUAAAGAGACUAGAAAUAAAUCUGAUACAUAUAGUCAAGUAAUUUUAACAUGAGUUCCAAAACCACUUAAUAGGGAAAUAAUAGUCACUUCAAUGAAAGGUAGAGAGAAAACUGGAUAUC